UAAAACUUUUCUUUCCGCAACUGGGACUAGCGCAAUCGCGCUAGUGCCCGCGCUAGUAUCCUAACAUUCUGCCUCAACCGUCUGGACUAGCGCGAUCGCGCUAGUGGGCACGCUAGUUCAAACCUUUAUUUCCUCGAUUUUUUAUCUAGUCUUCGCACGUACUCAGCUCCUAGGGGUUUUUCUUGCUCCAAUAUAGCUUCAAUCACAACUUUAAGACCUCAUUUAAGCUCUUUAUCCUGCAAUGUGUGAAAUUCACAAUUAGAAUCUUUUUUUAUCAUUUAACUAUAUUAUGAUACUGAAACAUAAUCAAGCUGGAGUAUAAACAAUCGCCAAAUUACAUAAAUCAAGCUGGAGUAUAAACAAUCGCCAAAUUACAUAAAUCAAGCAUAUUAUCAAUAUGCCAGGAGAUGGACGAAGAAGGAUGAUCGUUGCCCGAAAUGGAGCGAAUAUGGUCUGUCCAUGGCUGAAAUGGCUUGAAACUUAGAUAUGGAAGAGGAAAGGGUUGAGAAGGUGCCACUUAGAAACCUUAGUUGGCUUCUUGCUUGUGCUCGAAAUAGGGCUGGUCUGAUCUUAAUAGGCUCUUAAUUGGAAAAAUGAU
RNAcentral lists this long non-coding RNA (598 nucleotides) under Nicotiana benthamiana. Its description in RNAcentral is "long non-coding RNA (NBEN_LNC020556)". Lineage: Eukaryota; Viridiplantae; Streptophyta; Magnoliopsida; Solanales; Solanaceae. The record is from RNAcentral.